AGUGAACGCUGGCGGUAGGCCUAACACAUGCAAGUCGAACGGCAGCACAGUAAGAGCUUGCUCUUACGGGUGGCGAGUGGCGGACGGGUGAGGAAUACAUCGGAAUCUACUUUUUCGUGGGGGAUAACGUAGGGUAACUUACGCUACUACCGCAUACGACCUACGGGUGAAAGCAGGGGAUCUUCGGACCUUGCGCGAUUGAAUGAGCCGAUGUCAGAUUAGCUAGUUGGCGGGGUAAAGGCCCACCAAGGCGACGAUCCGUAGCUGGUCUGAGAGGAUGAUCAGCCACACUGGAACUGAGACACGGUCCAGACUCCUACGGGAGGCAGCAGUGGGGAAUAUUGGACAAUGGGCGCAAGCCUGAUCCAGCCAUACCGCGUGGGUGAAGAAGGCCUUCGGGUUGUAAAGCCCUUUUGUUGGGAAAGAAAAGCAGCAGGUUAAUACCCCGCUGUUCUGACGGUACCCAAAGAAUAAGCACCGGCUAACUUCGUG
This 492-nucleotide ribosomal RNA is filed under the name uncultured bacterium. RNAcentral describes it as "partial 16S ribosomal RNA". It matches the Rfam family "Bacterial small subunit ribosomal RNA", at positions 29 to 507 of the family's 1533-position model. The record is from RNAcentral.